Molecule: ribosomal RNA, 391 nt
Filed under: uncultured bacterium
Lineage: Bacteria
Description: bacterial SSU rRNA
Rfam family: Bacterial small subunit ribosomal RNA
Source: RNAcentral
CAGGCCUAACACAUGCAAGUCGAACGGGCAUCUUCGGAUGCUAGUGGCGCACGGGUGCGUAACGCGUGGGAAUCUGCCCCUUGGUUCGGAAUAACAGUUGGAAACGACUGCUAAUACCGGAUGACGACGUAAGUCCAAAGAUUUAUCGCCAAGGGAUGAGCCCGCGUAGGAUUAGCUAGUUGGUGUGGUAAAGGCGCACCAAGGCGACGAUCCUUAGCUGGUCUGAGAGGAUGAUCAGCCACACUGGGACUGAGACACGGCCCAGACUCCUACGGGAGGCAGCAGUGGGGAAUAUUGGACAAUGGGCGAAAGCCUGAUCCAGCAAUGCCGCGUGAGUGAUGAAGGCCUUAGGGUUGUAAAGCUCUUUUACNCCGGGAUGAUAAUGACAGGA